UGUUUGUGUCGACAAUUACAAGGGAGAAGAAGAGAAGCAACCUAGUUCAUCCUCUUCACAAAUUGAUGCAAUUCUCCACCAAAUUGAAGUGUUUGGGGCUUGAUUCUUUGGGCUUUAAGCCUUUCUAUACAUCUAAGACAAGCUUGACUCUUUGACGAGCUAGGUGGAAGCUUGGAGAGGAUUGGUCAAACGAAAUAAAGAUGCCAGGAAACUUGCACGGAUGCGAGGUAAGUAAAACUUACACCCCUAGAAUAGGAUCAUUGAUCAUGUGAGGGUAAUGUCUUGACAGUUAGUUAAAGGUUAUCGAGUAACCAGUUUUGGUAACAUGUAUAAAAAUGGAAUGAAUUCCUUGGUGUAAACCAUGAAACGUGUCAAAUUAGUGAGUUGUAAAAUAAGCCACUUGUUGGUAAUGAUGAUGAUAUGCUAAAAAUGAAUUCCAUGGUGUAAACCAUGAAAUGGGUCAAAAUAGUAAACCGCAAACCAAAUCAUUUGUUCGUGAUGAUGAUGAUGUACUAAAAUGAAACCCAGUGGCGUAAACCAUAACGGGUCAAAAUGGGUAAAUGUGACCUUAAAACAAAGGGGGUUCCGGUUAAUACUCUUAAGGGGUAGACUGGGAAUCGGUCUAAGGAACCAUCAGACAAACCAUAGUUACCUAAAUCGCUAGGGUAGCCACAAUCCACGUAUUGGAUCGUGGUGUACCCAAUCGGAAAUCGUAAGCGUACCGGAACGACAUGGUCCGGGGAACCGGGUUGCGUCGGUACGGUGUUCUUGAUUGCGGAGGUACGGCGAUCCAAAUUGAUCCAGUUCAGCAAACCAAAUAGACAAGGUCGAGGUUCCAAAUCGAUUGGGAUACAACGAUCCAUAGCUAUUUUAGGUGGGAACCAGGAAGAAAGGGGAAGAAGACCAGCGGCUGCGUCUGUGUGUUAUCUGGCUGUUUUAGGCUUUUUAGGUUUAAAGAAGUUUAGUUAUUUCAACAUUUAACCCCUCUAUGUUUUCUAGUUUACAUUUAAACGCUAAAACUUAUAGUUUUUACAUAAAAAGUGUAAAAGUAGUU
RNAcentral lists this long non-coding RNA (1054 nucleotides) under Helianthus annuus (common sunflower). Lineage: Eukaryota; Viridiplantae; Streptophyta; Magnoliopsida; Asterales; Asteraceae. The record is from RNAcentral.